Molecule: long non-coding RNA, 2080 nt
Organism: Pogona vitticeps (central bearded dragon)
Lineage: Eukaryota; Metazoa; Chordata; Lepidosauria; Squamata; Agamidae
Source: RefSeq, a predicted model, not a curated record
CCAAUUCCUUACUCUGGUCUGUAUCUGAUUAAUUUUAAUGUUCCCAAACCUAAAUUAUUGCCUAACUAAUUUGCUGCUUUAAUUUGUUGCUCCCCCUGAUUUUAACUUAUUGUUAAAAAUCAUUUUUAUCGCUGGUGCUUCUAAACAUAAUAACAGACUCAAAAGGCUUGUGAAUUUUAGGGGGGAAAUCUUGAAAAAACCUAACAGAAACACAAGAACCACUUUAUUUGACACUGUUGAAAACAUAGCCCAAAAGGCUGAACACUGUAGGGAAUGCAGGAUUAACAAUCAAUAGACAGAGAAAAAGACAGAGGCAGCCACUACUCUUAGAACGGCAACCAAGAGCUGGGAGACAAUUUUUUGCAAUGGUUUACUAAAUAUGGUCAGGGAAGAGGCAGGAGAAAGCCUGGAAGUACAUGUUUCAAAUACUUAGCUGCCUAUAAAGCUGAAACAGUUUACUUGUGCCCCAAGUGGCAAAUAGAUCCAGCAUAGACAGCAUGCAUGGUGGAAGCCCCGAUCUCAACUGCAGCAUCUGACCUCUCAAGACAAAAAAAACUACAAUGGAUCUGUCUAGAAACAUGAAGAAAGAGAGUGCAACAUGGAAGAAAGAAAGAAUACUUGAUUGGGAAAGGGUGGUGCUCCUCAUGGCUUCCCCUCCUACAUAAUGAAGAGCUGAAUCAGCGAACAGAGUGAACACUCAAGAAGAGAUGGCUGCUGCUGAUGUCUCUCUCUAGGUCAUUACUUCUCUUCCAACUACAAAUGCUGCAUGAUAAGCUUACAGGUCAGCUGCUGAAUUCUAGCUAAGCACAAGUUGAACUAUGGACAUCUUGCUGACAUGGUUGUAACCCAAACAUCCCAACCAUCUAAUUGACAAGGAUAACAAAUGCUGACAUUAUCAAAUGCUAUCAUGCUUCUUUUCCACGGUAACUUUUGUCCUGAUAUGACCCGUAAAGAAAACUACUGCUAUCCAAAAGAACACUUGAGGAGCUGGACCAGUACAACAAUUUCCAUAUAGCUGGCAAAAAUAGAUGACAGUUUUAUAGCUGUUUAAAAUGCUCAAGUUUAAGCCCCACAUGGUAUGUUUCUAUUAAAACAAGGCAUGUUUAUUUACAGAAAUGUCAUAACUACCAGCAGACUUUGCCAGGCAGCAAACGUACUAUAUUUAAUGUAUGUACUAACAUGCAGCCUAAAUAAAUAUUGUGCCUCCAGCUUGGUUCAACAUCUGUGAGCCUUCUCCACCUAUUGCCAUUUUAAACCAAUAUUUUCUUAAUGAAAAUGCAUGAACUAUGAUUUCAAAUGCCCAAAUCAAUCUGUCAAUCCUAACUAGAAGAGUCUUGCUGAAUAGUAAGUCAACACUUUUGUAAAUCCCAUGUAUGCAAUGCAUCUAAUUCUAGCUAGGAUCUGCAACUAGAUUUGUGCCACAAGCUAUGUGGUACAAUAAUUGUAACUCCAAGACAGAUAAAAUACUUUCUUACGAUAUAUACUACUGGCUGUUUUAUGCAGAAAGAAGUAUCUACAGAAAAGGCCAUAAAAUGCCUGAAAACUAGAGGGUUACAAACAGCAAGUUAAACAGGGAUAUCUCAGCUUCCAUUUCUCAUCUCUGUCACAGCUACUGCAGUUAAGAGUAAUGACCACAAACCUAUAUAGAAAUUAUGCUGCUUUUCACUGGAUAUGUUAUGGGGAUAGGUAAAAAACACAUGUAUUUAUGUUAUAGAGUUCAACUGUCCCAACAAAGGUCUCUUUUUAAUGGUGGGCUCUGAAUUUAUCAUUAAUUUUUAUUUAUUUUAUUAGAUUUAUACCCCGCCCAUCUAGACCAAAGGUCUACUCUGGGUGGCAGAGUUAUGACCAUAAUUAAAUGAUAUGACCAUAAAAAAGUAUAAGGAAAAAAAGGACAAUUUUUGCAAGCUGUAAGUGUUCCCCCUGUGAUGUCAUAUGCAUUGUUUCCCUAUUUAUAAUAUAGAAGUGGAUCAUUAUGGGAAGAUUAGGAAACUUCAAAUUCAAAACAAUAUACACCAUACGUUUCCGUGUAUAAGAUGAUACUUUUGUCUAAAAUCUUUAGACUAAAAAUUGAGGGUACAUG